AGGCCGUGAUGGGGGCACUUGCGUAAUAGCUCCUUGAACCUUUCCCAAGUUUCAUAUAAGGAUUCCCCGUCCUCUUGUGAGUAUGUAUUAAUCUCAGCCAUUAAUUU
Molecule: non-coding RNA, 107 nt
Organism: Helianthus annuus (common sunflower)
Lineage: Eukaryota; Viridiplantae; Streptophyta; Magnoliopsida; Asterales; Asteraceae
Source: Rfam